AUAAACUCACAAUUCAUCGGAUCCCAACAAACACACCGCAAAAGAAAGAGUUACAUCAUAUGGAUCUCCAAGAGACCAUUGUAUUGAGAAACAACACGAGAUAGCCAUCUAGCUACUACUUACAGACUUGUAGGUCCGAUAUGAACUAGUCACGCAUCAUCGGAGGAAUACCAAUGAGGAUGGUGAACCCCUUCGUGAUCGUGUUCCUCUCCGGAACGGGCUCUAGACUGGACUUCAUGGCUUUUGGAGCUUGCAGCGACUAAAAUGAUUUUUCGUUGACUCUCCUAGGGUUUUAUGAAUAUUGGGGUAUUUUUAGAGCUCAGAGUUAGUGGAGGAGGUGCCUAGGGGACCCACU
RNAcentral lists this long non-coding RNA (355 nucleotides) under Hordeum vulgare. RNAcentral's name for it is "long non-coding RNA (HVUL_LNC012975)". Lineage: Eukaryota; Viridiplantae; Streptophyta; Magnoliopsida; Poales; Poaceae. The record is from RNAcentral.